AGAGUUUGAUCCUGGCUCAGGAUGAACGCUGGCGGCGUGCCUAACACAUGCAAGUCGAGCGAUUUACUUCGGUAAAGAGCGGCGGACGGGUGAGUAACGCGUGGGUAACCUGCCUCAUACACAUGGAUAACAUACCGAAAGGUAUGCUAAUACAGGAUAAUAUAAGAGAUUCACAUGGAUUUCUUAUCAAAGCUCCGGCGGUAUGAGAUGGACCCGCGUCUGAUUAGCUAGUUGGUAAGGUAAUGGCUUACCAAGGCGACGAUCAGUAGCCGACCUGAGAGGGUGAUCGGCCACAUUGGAACUGAGACACGGUCCAAACUCCUACGGGAGGCAGCAGUGGGGAAUAUUGCACAAUGGGCGAAAGCCUGAUGCAGCAACGCCGCGUGAGUGAUGAAGGCCUUCGGGUCGUAAAACUCUGUCCUCAAGGAAGAUAAUGACGGUACUUGAGGAGGAAGCCCCGGCUAACUACGUGCCAGCAGCCGCGGUAAUACGUAGGGGGCUAGCGUUAUCCGGAUUUACUGGGCGUAAAGGGUGCGUAGGUGGUUUUUUAAGUCAGGAGUGAAAGGCUACGGCUCAACCGUAGUAAGCUCUUGAAACUGGAAAACUUGAGUGCAGGAGAGGAAAGUGGAAUUCCUAGUGUAGCGGUGAAAUGCGUAGAUAUUAGGAGGAACACCAGUAGCGAAGGCGGCUUUCUGGACUGUAACUGACACUGAGGCACGAAAGCGUGGGGAGCAAACAGGAUUAGAUACCCUGGUAGUCCACGCCGUAAACGAUGAGUGCUAGGUGUCGGGGGGGAACCCUCGGUGCCGCAGCUAACGCAAUAAGCACUCCACCUGGGGAGUACGAUCGCAAGAUUGAAACUCAAAGGAAUUGACG
RNAcentral lists this ribosomal RNA (876 nucleotides) under uncultured bacterium. RNAcentral's name for it is "bacterial SSU rRNA". It matches the Rfam family "Bacterial small subunit ribosomal RNA", at positions 8 to 915 of the family's 1533-position model. The record is from RNAcentral.